Molecule: long non-coding RNA, 422 nt
Organism: Oncorhynchus kisutch (coho salmon)
Lineage: Eukaryota; Metazoa; Chordata; Actinopteri; Salmoniformes; Salmonidae
Exons: 3
Source: RefSeq, a predicted model, not a curated record
CUAACAUAAACUGUCCCUCUCGACUUGCCAUAGGUUGACAUUACAUGAUCAAACAUGGCUGCACACAAAAUGAACAAAUCAAUUUUGUCAUUAGGACAAAUAAAUGGUCGCAUUUAUGGAAUUCAUGCGCUUAACCCGUUAAAUAGGGCUACAUACGCGACGGCCUUGUCUACUAAUAAUUCUAGUCAGAAUAAAGGUGGGUGACCCCAGGACAGAUAGGAUGCCUGUAGACCAGGACUGGACAGCAGUGUACCCGAACGCUGCCCCCUUCAGACAGGGCUCUGUGCCCCUGCCUGUCCGCAUGGGCUUCCCAGUGAAGAGAGGGGUGCCUCCGGAGAAGAAGGGCAACCUAGAGCUCAAGAUUCCAAACUUUUUGCAUUUAACUCCAGCAGCCAUAAAGAAACACUGCGAAGCUCUGAAGC